RNAcentral lists this ribosomal RNA (463 nucleotides) under uncultured bacterium. RNAcentral describes it as "partial 16S ribosomal RNA". It matches the Rfam family "Bacterial small subunit ribosomal RNA", at positions 28 to 507 of the family's 1533-position model. The record is from RNAcentral.
GAUGAACGCUGACAGCAUGCUUAACACAUGCAAGUCUUUGGCGAAGCUGUGCUUGCACAGCCUAGCCAAGGCGGACGGGUGAGUAACGCGUAAGGAACUUGCCCUGCAGUCAGGGAUAACAGACGGAAACGACUGAUAAGACCUGGUAAAGUCAGGCGGACUCAUGUCCAGCCUGAUGAAAAGAGAUGCUGCAGGAGAGCCUUGCGUCCUAUUAGCUUGUUGGUGGGGUAACGGCCCACCAAGGCGAUGAUAGGUAGCCGGCCUGAGAGGGUGGACGGCCACAAGGGGACUGGGAUACGGCCCUUACUCCUACGGGAGGCAGCAGUGGGGAAUAUUGGACAAUGGGGGCAACCCUGAUCCAGCAAUUCUGUGUGCACGAUGAAGGUUUUCGGAUUGUAAAGUGCUUUCAGCAGGGAAGAAAAAAAUGACGGUACCUGCAGAAGAAGCGACGGCUAAAUACGUG